RNAcentral lists this ribosomal RNA (458 nucleotides) under uncultured bacterium. RNAcentral's name for it is "partial 16S ribosomal RNA". It matches the Rfam family "Bacterial small subunit ribosomal RNA", at positions 338 to 795 of the family's 1533-position model. The record is from RNAcentral.
CCUACGGGUGGCAGCAGUGGGGAAUAUUGCACAAUGUGGGAAACCCUGCUGCAGCGCCGCCGCGUGAGUGAAGAAGUAUUUCGGUAUGUAAAGCUCUAUCAGCAGGGAAGAAAUAGCGACCUUUGGGUCGCCAGACGGUACCUGAUUAAGAAGCCCCGGCUAACUACGUGCCAGCAGCCGCGGUAAUACGUAGGGGGCAAGCGUUAUCCGGAUUUACUGGGUGUAAAGGGAGCGUAGACGGCAGCGCAAGUCUGAAGUGAAAUGCCGGGGCUUAACCCCGGAACUGCGUUGGAUACUGUGCAGCUAGAGUGCAGGAGAGGUAAGUGGAAUUCCUAGUGUAGCGGUGAAAUGCGUAGAUAUUAGGAGGAACACCAGUGGCGAAGGCGGCUUACUGGACUGUAACUGACGUUGAGGCUCGAAAGCGUGGGGAGCAAACAGGAUUAGAUACCCUGGUAGUC